Cornus florida is the source of this 1072-nucleotide long non-coding RNA. RefSeq lists it as uncharacterized. The transcript is spliced from 4 exons. The record is from RefSeq and is a predicted model, not a curated record. NCBI's taxonomy places the organism in Eukaryota, Viridiplantae, Streptophyta, Magnoliopsida, Cornales, Cornaceae.
UAUUUAGGUUUUUUACAACUCUUUUAAAACUAUUUCAAAGGUAGUCUCUUUCAAAAGCCCCCGUACCUACUUUAUCAAUAAUUUGAUGUCCUAAUUUUUUAAAGGUCAUACAGCACAAGAUAUAGUCUCUUUGAUUUUUUAUUUUAUAAAAGGUACUGCAUUUUUAAUGCCCAUCCAGAACUUUCAAAGCCAAAUUAUUAAAAAAUUCUCUACAAUUACAGACACCUCAUGUCUGCAAUUUCCCUACCAAUAUGUCGUAAUUUAUUCAUUUAACUGAGAAGUUUGUUAAUAUUUUACAUACUCCCUCUAUCUUUCAUAAUUUUCUUUAUCUUCAAUGUUAGUGAAUUUAUUUAUUUAUUUUUUUUUUUUUUUUAUUUUUUUUAUGAUUUUGCCAAUGAGAUGUUUGCACUCAUUUUCGGCAUUAGAAGGGUAAAACGGUUGGAAAAUUCUUUACAUAAAUCAGAACUUCAAGAGAGAUAAGUGAAAUUAUAAAACGAGAGUAUCUAUCUGCAAUAUUGACCAACCUCAUAGGAGAGAGGAAGUUCUGAGAGCCAAUUAUGAUGCUAGAAAAGAGUGGACUCCUCAUUUCCAAUCUUGGCGGUCACCAGGUGCUUGAGUAAAGGUCUCAACUACAACAACUUCCUCCAGUUGAAUGAGCAUUUUUGAGGGAGUUUGAUUGUGCCGUUUGCGGCAAAUUAAAGAGCACGAAGAGAUCUACAAUUUGAUCGGAGCAAUUCCUUGUUUAGAGCACUUGGAAAUUUCGAGAUCUAGGGCACAAAAUUGGGAGUUUUUGCAUAUCUUGAGGUUAUGGCAAAGGAGUGGCGGACGACAAUCCAUAACCAGUUUAGUAAAGUUGACGGACUUGAACUCUUUUAUGUUCGAUAUGUAUUUUACCUAUUUUUGUUGUAAAUGUAUUAGGGAUCAUUUUGUAUAUAUCACAUGGUUAGAAAUGGUCUUGAGACCAUUCUUUUGUAUUUUGUGGUCUCACCCUAAUUUUAAUAUCCAUGUAAGGCCUUAAGGCCAUAUUCUCGAUGUAUGACACUCUCGUUUAAUUUUAAGGAUAUAUUGGACC